Molecule: ribosomal RNA, 425 nt
Filed under: Clostridioides difficile
Lineage: Bacteria; Bacillati; Bacillota; Clostridia; Peptostreptococcales; Peptostreptococcaceae
Description: partial 23S ribosomal RNA
Rfam family: Bacterial large subunit ribosomal RNA
Source: RNAcentral
GUCCACAUCGACGGGGAGGUUUGGCACCUCGAUGUCGGCUCAUCACAUCCUGGGGCUGUAGUAGGUCCCAAGGGUUGGGCUGUUCGCCCAUUAAAGUGGUACGCGAGCUGGGUUCAGAACGUCGUGAGACAGUUCGGUCCCUAUCCGUCGCAGGCGUAGGAAAUUUGAGAAGACCUGUCCUUAGUACGAGAGGACCGGGAUGGACGUACCUCUGGUGUACCAGUUGUUCUGCCAAGGGCAUGGCUGGGUAGCUAUGUACGGAAUGGAUAAGCGCUGAAAGCAUCUAAGCGCGAAGCCAACUUCAAGAUAAGAUUUCCCACCGCAAGGGUAAGACCCCAGAAAGACUAUCUGGUUGAUAGGUCGAAGGUGUAAGUGCAGCAAUGUAUUUAGCUUAUCGAUACUAAUAGGUCGAGGACUUGACCAAU